Long non-coding RNA from Grammomys surdaster, 920 nucleotides. RefSeq lists it as uncharacterized. The transcript has 2 exons. NCBI's taxonomy places the organism in Eukaryota, Metazoa, Chordata, Mammalia, Rodentia, Muridae. The record is from RefSeq and is a predicted model, not a curated record.
UUUUUUAAAUCUUACGCUGGAAAAUGUUGGAUGGGAAGUUUUAGUAGAAAGGAAAAACAUCGGUACUACAAAAUAAACCCUGUGACCAAACUACUUCAAUCCCCUCCCUCAACUCUUGCCUCCUUCCAGACUGUUACCUCCAGUGACCCCCACCCCUACCCCCACCCCGCGCAGCCUGUUGCCAGAUGGGAGCUGGUGACUAGUUUUCCACAAAUAGGGACACAGGGCUGUCUCCGCCUCCUCCAACUCACUUCCCUAGGGCCACAGAAAGCCAGGUUUUUCCACCAGCCGAAAGACCUCCUCAGCCUGGACUACUGAAUCUCCCAGACUAGCAAGAACCACGUCAUCCACCCCUCUCCAUCCCUUCCCCCAGAACUGGAGGACUGGUCACCCCUUCACUUUCCCAGGACCCUGCUGUACUCUUCCUGUCCUCUAAGCAGACAGCUUUCCCAGGAAGCCUGGGUGAGCAGAGAAUUCCUUCCCACAUAGCUGGUACCCCGAGAGGCUCACUAAAGUUAACAGAUGGAGGAACCAGAGCAUCGUCCCACUCCCCCCUGGCCGCCAUUACUGCUCAGUUCCCACAAGGUUGGCGAAUGGUUUCCGCUCCCAUGUCCACCCCACACCUCUAAGUCCACAGUCAUCUUAGAAUAUGCUCCUGCCCCGACACACACAUGCUCAGGAGCCAAUAUCCUUCCCUUGGUCUCUGCAUCUUUUAAACGCAGGAUGGAUUCCUUAGAGUUUUCAAAAAGAAAAAAAAAACUUCUGUGAAUGAUUCAGAUCAAAUAAUUUAUUUUAUUGUGAUAUUGGGAGUGAAUACAGAUAUUAACAAAACAAAGAUAAUGGAAAACAGAAGCAAUAAAUGAAGAUGGCGAUACUGCCCAUGACCACAACCUCAUGGUCAGAAACCCAGUUGAAAAGAA